CCUACGGGUGGCAGCAGUCGAGAAUUAUUCACAAUGGGGGAAACCCUGAUGGAGCGACGCCGCGUGGGGGAAUGAAGGUCUACGGAUUGUAAACCCCUGUCAUGUGGGAGCAAAUCAAAAAGAUAGUACCGCAAGAGGAAGAGACGACGAACUCUGUGCCAGCAGCAGCGGUAAUACAGAGGUCUCAAGCGUUGUUCGGAAUCACUGGGCGUAAAGCGUGCGUAGGCAGUUUCGUAAGUCGUGUGUGAAAGGGGCGGGCUCAACCCGCGGACGGCACAUGUUACUGGGGGACUAGAGUAAUGGAGGGGGAGCCGGAAUUCUCGGUGUAGCAGUGAAAUGCGUAGAUAUGGAGAGGAACACUCGUGGCGAAGGCGGGUUCCUGGACAUUAACUGACGCUGAGGCACGAAGGCCAGGGGAGCGAAAGGGAUUAGAUACCCCUGUAGUC
This 446-nucleotide ribosomal RNA is filed under the name uncultured bacterium. RNAcentral's name for it is "partial 16S ribosomal RNA". It matches the Rfam family "Bacterial small subunit ribosomal RNA", at positions 338 to 795 of the family's 1533-position model. The record is from RNAcentral.